AAACAAUCAAAAAGAUGCAGUGAGAAAUAUAGAAGAUAUGAGAAUAAU
RNAcentral lists this non-coding RNA (48 nucleotides) under Trypanosoma brucei brucei. The record is from RNAcentral. Lineage: Eukaryota; Euglenozoa; Kinetoplastea; Trypanosomatida; Trypanosomatidae.